GAUGAACGCUGGCGGCGUGCUUAACACAUGCAAGUCGAACGAUGAAGCCCAGCUUGCUGGGUGGAUUAGUGGCGAACGGGUGAGUAACACGUGAGUAACCUGCCCUUAACUCUGGGAUAAGCCUGGGAAACGGGGUCUAAUACCGGAUAGGAGCGCCUACCGCAUGGGGGGUGUUGGAAAGAUUUAUCGGUUUUGGAUGGACUCGCGGCCUAUCAGCUUGUUGGUGAGGUAUUGUCUCACCAAGGCGACGACGGGGAGCCGGCCUGAGAGGGUGACCGGCCACACUGGGACUGAGACACGGCCCAGACUCCUACGGGAGGCAGCAGUGGGGAAUAUUGCACAAUGGGCGAAAGCCUGAUGCAGCGACGCCGCGUGGGGGAAGACGGCCUUCGGGUUGUAAACCUCUUUCAGUAGGGAAGAAGCGAAAGUGACGGUACCUGCAGAAGAAGCACCGGCUAACUACGUG
This 466-nucleotide ribosomal RNA is filed under the name uncultured bacterium. RNAcentral describes it as "partial 16S ribosomal RNA". It matches the Rfam family "Bacterial small subunit ribosomal RNA", at positions 28 to 507 of the family's 1533-position model. The record is from RNAcentral.